This 447-nucleotide ribosomal RNA is filed under the name uncultured bacterium. Its description in RNAcentral is "bacterial SSU rRNA". It matches the Rfam family "Bacterial small subunit ribosomal RNA", at positions 355 to 825 of the family's 1533-position model. The record is from RNAcentral.
UCGGGAAUUUUGGGCAAUGGGCGAAAGCCUGACCCAGCAACGCCGCGUGAAGGAUGAAGUCUCUCGGGAUGUAAACUUCGUAAGAAUAGGAAGAAUAAAUGACGGUACUAUUUGUAAGGUCCGGCUAACUACGUGCCAGCAGCCGCGGUAAUACGUAGGGACCAAGCGUUGUUCGGAUUUACUGGGCGUAAAGGGCGCGUAGGCGGCAAUUCAAGUCAUCUGUGAAAUCUCCGGGCUUAACUCGGAACGGUCAGAUGAUACUGCUUUGCUAGAGUGCAGAAGGGGCAAUCGGAAUUCUUGGUGUAGCGGUGAAAUGCGUAGAUAUCAAGAGGAACACCUGAGGUGAAGACGGGUUGCUGGGCUGACACUGACGCUGAGGCGCGAAAGCCAGGGGAGCAAACGGGAUUAGAUACCCACGUAGUCCCUGAGCGGGCUGGCAAGGCGCAU